UUGACCUCAAAUCAGGUAGGACUACCCGCUGAACUUAAGCAUUAA
This 45-nucleotide ribosomal RNA is filed under the name Gloeophyllum odoratum. RNAcentral's name for it is "partial 28S large subunit ribosomal RNA". The record is from RNAcentral. Lineage: Eukaryota; Fungi; Basidiomycota; Agaricomycetes; Gloeophyllales; Gloeophyllaceae.